CCUUCAAUAUCAGCAUAUAUGGUUGAAAAAUCAUCAUCAUUCACUCCCACUUUUAUACCCUCAGGUGGAGAUUCAUCGAGAUUCUUCAACUCCUUUGCAAGUUGCUUUAUUACAUUGGGAGGAAGAUUUUCAUUUGUUGCCAUCAGAGACGUCUUCGCGAUCACUGCCCUUGUUUGCACUGUGAUGUUAACCUUCGAAAAGAAAUGGAGAGAAUGAGAGGUGAAGCGAUGGGUUUUGGUGUCGAAGGCUUUGAGUAUGAGGAAACGGAAAGUUUAGUGAUCGGAGAGUCUGGCAUGUGCCGGAAUUGAAGAAGAUUGUGGCCUAUCGGUAGUGGUUACAGGGAUGAGGGGAAAAGAACCCAGAACCAGUACGGAAGAAAUGUGAACUAGGGUUGGAUGGGAAUGUGAUAAAUUUUUGAUUUUGAA
This 425-nucleotide unclassified non-coding RNA is filed under the name Hevea brasiliensis (rubber tree). The record is from RNAcentral. Lineage: Eukaryota; Viridiplantae; Streptophyta; Magnoliopsida; Malpighiales; Euphorbiaceae.